GAGUAGUGGCGAGCGAAAGCGGAAGAGACUAAACCUGUGGUGUGUGAUAGCGGUUAGGCGUUGCAUCAUGGGGGUUGUGGGAGUCACAGUGGCAGUUCUAACUGGCUGCCGGCAUGAUGUUCAGGAUGGUAGGUGAACGACUUGGAAUGGUCGGCCGUAGAGGGUGAGAGUCCCGUAAUCGAAAUUGUUCUGUCCGUGGUGUGGCCACCCGAGUAGCACGGGG
Molecule: ribosomal RNA, 223 nt
Filed under: Prymnesium parvum
Lineage: Eukaryota; Haptophyta; Prymnesiales; Prymnesiaceae
Description: partial Bacterial large subunit ribosomal RNA
Rfam family: Bacterial large subunit ribosomal RNA
Source: RNAcentral